GACGAACGCUGGCGGCGUGCCUAAUACAUGCAAGUAGAACGCUGAAGGAGGAGCUUGCUUCUCUGGAUGAGUUGCGAACGGGUGAGUAACGCGUAGGUAACCUGCCUGGUAGCGGGGGAUAACUAUUGGAAACGAUAGCUAAUACCGCAUAAGAGUAGAUGUUGCAUGACAUUUGCUUAAAAGGUGCAAUUGCAUCACUACCAGAUGGACCUGCGUUGUAUUAGCUAGUUGGUGAGGUAACGGCUCACCAAGGCGACGAUACAUAGCCGACCUGAGAGGGUGAUCGGCCACACUGGGACUGAGACACGGCCCAGACUCCUACGGGGGGCAGCAGUAGGGAAUCUUCGGCAAUGGACGGAAGUCUGACCGAGCAACGCCGCGUGAGUGAAGAAGGUUUUCGGAUCGUAAAGCUCUGUUGUAAGAGAAGAACGAGUGUGAGAGUGGAAAGUUCACACUGUGACGGUAUCUUACCAGAAAGGGACGGCUAACUACGUG
This 495-nucleotide ribosomal RNA is filed under the name uncultured bacterium. RNAcentral describes it as "partial 16S ribosomal RNA". It matches the Rfam family "Bacterial small subunit ribosomal RNA", at positions 28 to 507 of the family's 1533-position model. The record is from RNAcentral.